UUUAGACAAUUUAUAAUCAAUUUUCAUCCGUUCUCCUGUAGCGGAAUACAAACGAGUAGUACUCUUUUCUAAGUACCUUAAAGGGAUGAUGCCUUUCACAAUGCAAUUGCGAUCAGCUCCACUGUCAAGCAGCGCGAUUUUGUUAAGAACUAAGUCUAGCAAUAACCAAUCGGAUGGGUAUAUGCUGACUUAGAGAUUUGAUGGUAGCAACCUUGGAACGAGAUUCCUGAAGGGACUCAGAAUCUUCAGGGUUUUCUCCGGG
RNAcentral lists this long non-coding RNA (262 nucleotides) under Nicotiana benthamiana. RNAcentral's name for it is "long non-coding RNA (NBEN_LNC016999)". Lineage: Eukaryota; Viridiplantae; Streptophyta; Magnoliopsida; Solanales; Solanaceae. The record is from RNAcentral.